AUAGGAUCUUAAUAUGCCUCAAAAGGAAACUCUUCAACAUGUGCAUACUAUCAGUAAUGACAUAUGGCUAUCAAAUAUGAACCCUUACAAAGAAAAUGGAAGAGAAAUUAUCAACAACCCAAAGAAGCUUAGAAUAAUACAUGUCAGGAUUCACAAGGAGGAACUGCAAGACCAAUAUAUGGAUAAGAGAACAAACCAAAGUAGAAGACAUACUGGUAACAAUUAGAAGCAGUUGGCAGGCCACAUAGCAAGAUACACCAAGAUCGAUGGACAAAGAGAAUUACAGAGUGGCAACCAAGGCAAGGAAAAAGACAUUCUUGCAAACAAUACAAACAAUGAAAGAUGAUAUAAGUAAAGUAAUUGUUUCCCAGUGGAUGAAGAUUGCAUGUGAUAGAUACAUUUGGAAACAAAACAAUACAGCAUAUAUCCAGUAGUGUAUGAAAUAAAAAUGAUUAUGAUGACAACAAUGACUUUAUGAGUAAUUUCUAGAUCUUUUAAAGUUGGGAACCAC
Molecule: long non-coding RNA, 511 nt
Filed under: Androctonus crassicauda
Lineage: Eukaryota; Metazoa; Arthropoda; Arachnida; Scorpiones; Buthidae
Source: RNAcentral